Molecule: non-coding RNA, 287 nt
Organism: Salmo salar (Atlantic salmon)
Lineage: Eukaryota; Metazoa; Chordata; Actinopteri; Salmoniformes; Salmonidae
Source: RefSeq, a predicted model, not a curated record
CUUGUGGUACUCAUCCAUGUGUUUCAGGUGGUAUUCAGGUCAGGUUGUGUUACAGUAGACUAAUCACCUUGUGGUACUCAUCCAUGUGUUUCAGGUGGUAUUCAGGUCAGGUUGUGUUACAGUAGACUAAUCACCUUGUGGUACUCAUCCAUGUGUUUCAGGUGGUAUUCAGGUCAGGUUGUGUUACAGUAGACUAAUCACCUUGUGGUACUCAUCCAUGUGUUUCAGGUGGUAUUCAGGUCAGGUUGUGUUACAGUAGACUAAUCACCUUGUGGUACUCAUCCAUG